GCAUGUCUUAGUGUAAUAACUCUUAUGAAACUGCGAAUGGCUCAUUAAAUCAGUUAUCGUUUAUUUGAUGAUAUAAUUCCUAGUAAGCGCGAGUCAUCAGCUCGCGUUGAUUACGUCCCUGCCCUUUGUACACACCGCCCGUCGCUCCUACCGAUUGAAUGGUCCGGUGAAAUCUUCGGAUUGCUGGAUAGGAGGGCAACCACCUAUCUGCGAGAAGUUGCUUGAACCUUAUCAUUUAGAGGAAGGAGAAGUCGUAACAAGGUUUCCGUAGGUGAACCUGCAGAAGGAUC
Molecule: ribosomal RNA, 290 nt
Filed under: uncultured eukaryote
Lineage: Eukaryota
Description: partial 18S ribosomal RNA
Rfam family: Eukaryotic small subunit ribosomal RNA
Source: RNAcentral